GGUAGUAAAUUAAACCAAUAUGUAUUGGCGGUCUUUACAUAUUAAAGAAACUCGCUUUAUAAUCGUAAACACUCGAUAAAUUUAACUUUUUUUAAAAGUUUAUAUACCGCCGUUUCAGGGUUAAAAAAAUAACAAAUCCCUUAAAAUUUUAAGAUAGAAAAUCAGGUCAAGGUGUAACCAAUAAAAAAGAAAAAGUAAGUUACAUUAAAAAUAAUUUAAGGAUUUUAUACAAAAACAAAAAUAAAAAAGAAUUUAUAUGUAAGUUACAAUUAAAAUUUAAUACUGAACCAAUUAUUAAAGAUGC
This 304-nucleotide ribosomal RNA is filed under the name Pholcus negara. RNAcentral describes it as "partial 12S ribosomal RNA". The record is from RNAcentral. Lineage: Eukaryota; Metazoa; Arthropoda; Arachnida; Araneae; Pholcidae.